GUGUCAGCCGCCGCGGUAAUACAGAGAUCUCGAGCGUUAAUCGGAGUCACUGGGCUUAAAGCGUACGUAGGCGGACUUGCAAGCAUCUUGUGAAAUCCCUCGGCUCAACCGAGGAACUGCUUGGUGAACUGCGAGUCUUGAGGCAAGUAGAGGCUGUCGGAACGAUAGGUGGAGCGGUGAAAUGCGUUGAUAUCUAUCGGAACGCCGAAGGUGAAAACAGGCAGCUGGGCUUGUUCUGACGCUGAGGUACGAAAGCGUGGGGAUCAAACGGGAUUAGAUACCCGUGUAGUCC
RNAcentral lists this ribosomal RNA (292 nucleotides) under uncultured bacterium. RNAcentral's name for it is "partial 16S ribosomal RNA". It matches the Rfam family "Bacterial small subunit ribosomal RNA", at positions 505 to 796 of the family's 1533-position model. The record is from RNAcentral.